Molecule: non-coding RNA, 28 nt
Filed under: Homo sapiens (human)
Lineage: Eukaryota; Metazoa; Chordata; Mammalia; Primates; Hominidae
Source: RNAcentral
UGCGGUGAGCCGAGAUCACGCCAUUGCC